GACGAACGCUGGCGGCGUGCUUAACACAUGCAAGUCGAACGGAAAGGCCCUGCUUUUGUGGGGUGCUCGAGUGGCGAACGGGUGAGUAACACGUGAGUAACCUGCCCGUGACUUUGGGAUAACUUCAGGAAACUGGGGCUAAUACCGGAUAGGAGCUCCUGCUGCAUGGGGGGGGUUGGAAAGUUUCGGCGGUUGGGGAUGGACUCGCGGCUUAUCAGCUUGUUGGUGGGGUAGUGGCUUACCAAGGCUUUGACGGGUAGCCGGCCUGAGAGGGUGACCGGCCGCAUUGGGACUGAGAUACGGCCCAGACUCCUACGGUAGGCAGCAGUGGGGAAUAUUGCACACUGGGCGGAAGCCUGAUGCAGCAACGCCGCGUGCGGGAUGACGGCCUUCGGGUUGUAAACCGCUUUCGCCUGUGACGAAGCGUGAGUGACGGUAAUGGGUAAAGAAGCACCGGCUAACUACGUG
This 468-nucleotide ribosomal RNA is filed under the name uncultured bacterium. RNAcentral describes it as "partial 16S ribosomal RNA". It matches the Rfam family "Bacterial small subunit ribosomal RNA", at positions 28 to 507 of the family's 1533-position model. The record is from RNAcentral.